Molecule: non-coding RNA, 32716 nt
Organism: Podarcis lilfordi (Lilford's wall lizard)
Lineage: Eukaryota; Metazoa; Chordata; Lepidosauria; Squamata; Lacertidae
Source: the annotation of a GenBank genome assembly
CCGUCCCGCCCUCGUCGUGGGAGCAGGCCGGGCCGGCGGCCGCGGCAGCAGCAGGAGGAGGCGGAGCGGCGGCGCUGGCGAGGAGGUGGAGCGGCGCCCCUGAGGCGGCGGCGAGGUCAGCGGGGAGGGCGAGGCGGCGCCGGGCUUCCUCGGGCUGGAGCAGCGCGGGCCCGGAGGGGAGGCCGGGAGGGCGGGCGGGCGGCGGGGUCUCCGCGGAGCCGGAAGAGCUGCUCCUUCUCCGGCGGCAACCAGCCUCCCUCGCCGCGGACUCCAGAGCCCCCGGAAGCGCUGCCUUGCCCCGGAGCGCGUUGCAGCUUUUGUGGGACAAGUUUCCACACGGAAUCACAGAACUCUAGAACUGUAAAGUUGGAAGGGACCCCGAGGGUCAUCUAGGCCAGCCCCUGCAAGGCAGGACUCUCAACACGAAACGCCCCCAUCCAAUGCGAAACCAGCCCAGAUCCUGCUUAGCUUUGCCGAUGUGCCAGCAGUUGCGUUGCUGCAGCAGCUUCAGCAGCCGGCCGAGAUGGGCAAGUGCCCGGCCCCUUGACCCAGACCCGCCUGGCUUGUGGGGCUGCCCGGGUGGGUCCAGAGUGGCCUGACUGCUUUGCCGCGCUGCAUUGAAAGAGGCCGUGAUGCAACCGCUUCUAAAGAAACCGGCUCCAGGCCCUUUGGCUUGGAACAUUGACCAGGUGGCAAGACCCCCUUUGGGGGAAGGUGGUGGAGAGAGCCACGGUGGGGCAGCUACAAGCAUUAUUGGAGGGCCCAGAUUAUUUAGAGCCAUUAGUUGCCCUGAUGGAUGACCUCUGUGGAGAGGAGUGUGACCUUGCUCCUGCUUCUGGGUCUCUCAUCAGCACUCAAGGAAGACCGUCCACCAUCCUGGACUGGACUGGGGACAGUGUAUUGCAGCGGUUCCAGUCCUACCUUCAGGUCCAGAGAGUAGCACUGGGAGAGUACCUCUUGGCCCCCUGGCAGCUAUUUAAGAUAUGCCAGUUGGGGUUGCAGGGCAAUGUGCCACCAGUAUGCUGAGGACACUCCGUUCUAUUUCUCCUUAACAUCUGAAUGUUACGGAGAGACCGCACAGUCCUGGGGUCAUUUCCUGCCUGCCUCCCAGUGCCAUUGCUGCCUCCCAUGGGAGCAAGUUCCAUAGUUCACACUAUGCUGUGUGAAGAAGAACUUUCUUUUAUCUGUCCUGAAUUUUUCAAUUUUUCAGUAUCCGUGAGUUGUCAUGUUAUAAGAGAGAGAGGAAAACAUUGCCACCCACUUUUGCUCAGGUCCUGCUUCCAAGCGUCCCACAGGGGUCCCUGUGAGAACAGGAGGCUGGGCCAGACGGGCCUUUGGACUGAUCUUGCAAGGCUGUCAACUGUUCCCUUUUUUUGCAAGGAAUCCUAUUUGGAAUAAGGGAAUUUCCCUUAAAAAAGGGGAAACGUUGACAGCCAUGGGCUCUUACUAUGUCUUAUUUGAUAAACUUCAAAUGUGACUAUAUUUUUUCAUGUGUAGUAUAUAAAUUGCAGAUGUUUUGUUUGGGUAUGAUGCAUUUGCUUGUCAGUAUUAGGACAUAGGCUUUUGUGGGCUACGGUCUACUUCAACAGAUGCAUGAAGUGUGAUCCUCAGUCAAAGUACAUAUACAGACAAUUGUGAGUUAACCGCAGACAUUGAGGUCAGGGAAACGAGAUGAAGAAAAAGUACAGACCUGAUAAUUACAUAAUUAUUUGUGGUCAUUACAGCUGGUAACAGAGACAUCCUCUCAUGGUAAGCCAAGGCCCCCCCCAGGUGCUCUUUUUUAAUUUGCAUUCCUGAUUAUUGAUGCUAAUGGUAUUGAGGUGGUUAUAUGCACCCCACUUUUAAUAUGGCUUGUGCCUAAAAAAGGUUUUGAGUGAGUAUACUGUUUCAUUUCUAAUUGGUGCAUGUCUUCUUGCUUCCUGCUGAAAUUCUGCAAAUUUCACAAAUGUUCUGGAGCAGGGGCAUUUGACCUGCCUGCUUUUGUUGCACUAUAUUUAGUUAUUACAUUUAUACCCCACCUUUUGUGAAAGACACUUAAAGUGGCAUUCGUGGUUUUCCUCCCCACUCUAUCCUCUCAACAACCCAGUGGGGUAGACUAGACUAGGCCGAAAAAUUUGAAACCUGGCCUCCUUCAUCCCUGUCCAGCCCUCUAGCCACUGCAGCACACUGGCGCUCGUGAUAUAGGCAAGAGGGCCUCUCUGGGCAGCCAUCAUGCUGGAAGCAUUUGGGAAGCAUUGUAGAACAGCUAAUAAAGCAAAAUGAUGUUUGGGUGACCCGGUAUAACCCCCCCACUAAUGCACAUGGAGAGGCAUGAAUAACAAGAUGAAGAGGGGAUAUGAGAGCCACCUUCAAAUAUCUGAAGGGCUGUUCCAUGGAAGUUGGAGCAAGCUUGUUUUCUCCUCUGGAGGGUAGGACUCAAACUAGUUCAAGUACAAGAAGGGAGAUUCCGACUAAACAUCAAAGAGAACCUUCUGACAGUAAGAGCUGUUUGACAGUGGGAGAUUGUGGACUUUCCUUCCUUGGAGGUUUUUAAGCAGAGGUUGCAUGGCCAUCUGUUGUGGAUGCUUUAGCUGAGAUUCCUGCAUUGCAGGGGGUUGGAAUGGACCUUGGGGUUCAUUCUAGUGCUACAACUCUACGUCAUUCAGGCAGUGACAUGUUGCAGAAUACCUGUGCAAAACCCCCGCCAGUCUGCAGGGCCGCCAAAUUAACACGUGUAGAGUGGUAAAUAUCCACAGUGAUGAUUCAGUCCACAAAGAGUAGGGUCAAAUCUCUUGAUGUGUCUGUAGUAGCAGUUCCUCUGCUUCAGUUUGGCCCAGACUCUGUGGCAGACCCAGAUGCAGACUCCGCCCUCAUGGCAGGACCUAAUAAUUCCCCCACAACAUGAGAGGAUAUUGCACCUGCUCAUCUUCCAGCAUGACAUAAGCCAUAAUCUACCAGCAACACCUUUCUGCAUUCUACAUAGGACAAGCAGGCAGUCUCUGUGCAGAAUAAAAAAUGGACAGAGAUCUGAUAUCAGAACUGGCAAUACAGAAAAACCAAUGAGGGACAUUUUAACUUUGCAGGGCACUGUAACUGAUCUUAAGGUGGCCAUAUUGGAAUGGAAUAAUUUCAAAGGGAGGCUUACAUGAAGAGGCGUUCAAUGCUAUCUGUUCUGGGUUCAUGGAUUAUUAUCGCACUAUAUGUGUUAAUUGGCUUGUCCUGCCAGGAUGCCAGUGUUCCCAGCACCAUUGUUCAUUAACAACCAAUUAAUGAAAUCCGUUUGCAUUUCAUUUCCCUCUGACCUCACAAUUAGCAGUCCCUAGUACAUGCCAUGUGUGGGUAUUUGCCAACUGAUUAUAUCACUUCAUGCAAAUGCAUAGGCUGCAAAAGCUAAAUUCAUAAGGCUUUGUUGUUACCACCAUUGUGUGUGAAAUGGGGAACAUUUGGGAGGAAUUUAGAAAUUACAUACUCUUACCCCAGCUCCUUCGAUUUCACCCAGUAGUUUGUGUAUAUCUGGGACUACAUUCAGUACAUAAAAUCCACACAUUCUUUUAAAAAACCACACAAAUGUGUAAAGCAUUUGGCGUUCCAGAAGGAAACAUUUGAGAAUGUGUUAAGGCAAAACGUUGAAAUAUUAAGGGUGCAUUGUUAAUUUCAGAAUGUUUCCAAGAUUGAACUUACUAGAUGGUUUGCAACUUAAAGUUAAAUGGAACUGGUCAGUGAAUGUAGUUGAUGAGGUGUUUUAUGGAAUACCUUGUUUGGAAUUCCUCCCAACCCCCCCCCCCCAGAGGUUCUCUUGCUUCCUGUUUUGAGCAUUCUUCUUAAUACCAUAAGUCAUAAUAAUAUAGUACUUUUACAAAACAUUUAUAAACCUCCCCUUGGAAUUUAUUGCAUACUUUUUUCAACAAUGGUCCCGAUUCACGUAAUCAAUAUUUGCAUUUGCUGCACUUGUUUUUUGACUGGGUGAUUUAUUGGCCGGCUUUUAAGAUUCUCUUACGUUUUUCUCCCUGUUGCUCAAAAGAUUUUUGUAAGGGUUGCCAGGCUUGUUUCAGAUCAGUGUCAGUGUCAGAAGCUUGAAGAAUGACUUUUGUGGGCUUACUAAACGCAGAGGAAGUGUCUGAAAUGUGAUUAGUCAAUUAACUACAUGUUAACAUGUAGCAGUGUGCAAUUUAAUAAACGUAUAUGUUUUAGCAAUUAUAUUUGCAUAAUAAUCUUAGGCACGGUUGAAAGUUAGGGGCUAAUGACAUUUCUGCAUGAGCUCCUAAAGCAAUAAGACAUGCUAGACACUGCAUUCCCUGUGAUUAUAUGCACCCCAAGGGCAACAUUAAGGCACAAGGCCAAACCCCAGAAGUGUGAUAAUCCCCCAGAAAUUAAUUGAGUGGAAUGUUGGAGGCUAUUGAGAAACGUAAUGCACACAGAGGGGUGGGGAGGAAACUAGUUAGACCUCUGCUUCCACUUGUGCUCUCUUCUGCUGGCAAGAGGGUGAUCGCCUCAGGCAGCAAUCUGUUCCGUGAGAAUUACAGAAUUGUAGAGUUGGACUCCUGGAAGGGACCCCAUCUAGACCCCAUCUAGUCCAAACCCUACAAUGCAGGAAUCUCAGCUAAAGCAUCUAUUGACAGAUGGUCAUCCAACCUCUGCUUAAAAGCCUCCAAGGAAGGAGAGUCCACCACCUUCCGAGGGAGACCGUUCCUGGUCAAGCAGUUAUCACCCUCAGAAAGCUGUUCAAGUCCUACCUUCCAGAGCAGGUGAAAACAAGCUUGCUCCAUCUUCCAUCUGGCAGCCCUUAAGAUAUUUGAAGAUGCAUGGCUUAUUCCCUCUCAGUCCCAAGAUAUGUUUUCGGGCGAAAUAUACCCAACUCCCUCAACUGUUCCUCAGAAGCUUAAUUGUUUUGGAGUGACAUAUUCCACCAAAUGAUCAUGAAAACACCACAGUUCAUUUGGUUAUGAUCAUAACAGCAUAAUUCUAGGUUGCGAAUUAGACUAGUCAAAAAAGAUUUGGGCCAAAUAUUGUCACAAAAUGGUCAAGUAUUUUAAAAGGAAUAACCUUUUGAGAGCAACAGAAUAUUACCAACAUAAUUGAUGCUUGUGCUACUUAUGACAGUAAGUAAGCUCCCUCCCCCCCAAGGAACUUAGCAUAAUGCACAUCAGCCUUUCUCCACCUUGGGGUCCUCAAAUGUUGUUUGACUAAAACUCCCGUCAUCCCUUGCUAGCAGGACUGGUGGUUGGGGAUGAUGGGAGUUGUAGUCCAGCAACAUUUUAUAUUACUCUACUCAUGGAGAUGUUCCGAGGCUGACAGUAUGCGACUGGCCCAAUGUUGCCAUUGAGCCUUAUGGUCAGGUGAGAAUUCGAACCUAUGCCUGUCUUCCUGGUCCUAGUCUGGCCUACUGCCUGCUAGACUUUUGCCUCUGUUUGGAGAUGUCUAAAAUUAUAGUACGUUGCUUCACUGCUUGUUUUGCCCCAAUUGCUGCAGAGCUAGGAGAUAACUAGCACUAAGGUAAUGACACCAUAAUGACACACAGAAAUAUUCAUUAAAUGUUUGACUGGGGUCAAAUAAGAGUUGACAAUAUUUGACUUGCUUUCCAAGCCUAAAUAAUUUUCUUCAGUUUAAGCAAGGGAUUAUUCUGUCCUCUACUCCUUGCUUGCAUAUACUUCAGAGCCCCUGCCUUACUUACCAGAUCCUUUUGUUUCUCUUUCCACCUCCUAGACAAAAUUAUCAGCAAGGCAAACCAGGGAUUUAUUUGACCUUUCAUUCUUAGCAGAAUUCUAUGAAUACUAAACUACCGUACUUUUCCGUCUAUUAGAUGCCCCCAUGUAUAAGACCCCUCCUAUUUUGGGGGACUCAAUUUUAAGAAAAUGAGGGGAGAUUGCCCAAAGUUGUUGAGCCUCCCCACCCCCCAGCUGUGGGCAGGAAACACUCCCUAGAUCAUUUUAGCGGCAGCUAAAAAAGCCAAUGCAAUUCUGGGCUGCAUCAAUAGGAGUAUAGCAUCUAGAUCAAGGGAAGUAAUAGUGCCACUGUAUUCUGCUCUGGUCAGACCUCACCUGGAGUACUGUGUCCAGUUCUGGGCACCACAGUUCAAGAAGGACACUGACAAACUGGAACGGGUCCAGAGGAGGGCAACCAAAAUGGUCAAAGGCCUGGAAACGAUGCCUUAUGAGGAACGGCUAAGGGAGCUGGGCAUGUUUAGCCUGGAGAAGAGGAGGUUAAGGGGUGAUAUGAUAGCCAUGUUCCAAUAUAUAAAAGGAUGUCACAUAGAGGAGGGAGAAAGGUUGUUUUCUGCUGCUCCAGAGAAGUGGACACGGAGCAAUGGAUCCAAACUACAAGAAAGAAGAUUCCACCUAAACAUUAGGAAGAACUUCCUGACAGUAAGAGCUGUUUGACAGUGGAAUUUGCUGCCAAGGAGUGUGGUGGAGUCUCCUUCUUUGGAGGUCUUUAAGCAGAGGCUUGACAGCCAUAUGUCAGGAGUGCUCUGAUGGUGUUUCCUGCUUGGCAGGGGGUUGGACUCGAUGGCCCUUGUGGUCUCUUCCAACUCUAUGUUUCUAUGAUUUCCCGCACGCAGGUAAAGGGAGUGUUUCCCUCGUGCAGCAGCAUCGGGGGAAGCUGCGCGCCACCAGCCAGCGCCCCCAGAGCACUCCCUGCGCCAGCAGCACCUCCCCACCCCGCCACUAUCCGUGUAUUGGACGACCCCAGUUUUUUGACAUGAUUUUUGUGUCAAAAAACCUCGACCACUGCACGGAAAAAUACAGUGGUACCUCGCAGCAUAAUGCCUCGCAAGACGGAAAACUCGCAAGACGAAAGGGUUUUCCGUUUUUGAGUUGCUUCGCAAGACGAUUUUCUCUAUGGGCUUGCUUCGCAAGACGGAAACGUCUUGCAAGUUUGUUUCCUUUUUCUUAAAACCGUUAAUACAGUUGCGACUUGACUUCGAGGAGCAACUCAUAGCACGCAGUGUGCGUCUCCGUAGGGGCAAGAACGCGUGAAGGCGGGUUCUGAGGGAGAGGGAGCUUUGUUUCGGCGAAAAAUAGCAAGGCGCGCACACGUCCCUCCCCACAACUCCCAGUUAGGGAGGCCAGGCUCCGGGGCUCUUCGGACGGGGCUCCUUCCUUCUCCCCCCCCCCCAGCGCCCCGGCGGUGACAAGAGCGCCUGCCCGGGCCCUCCGGCGCUCGCCCUGCGAGGGGCGCCCCCUACCUGCAUCUCCGUGCUUUCCAACCCCGUGAUGUCGACAGCUGCGGCAAGUUAGCCUCUCGGUGUGUGUGCGCGCGAGUGUGUGUUCUCCUCGCCCCGCUCGAGUUAGUCCCGGCGCAGCGCAGGCAGCAGGUGAGUCGCCCUUUGGCAGCGCGGAAGGCGCCGGGUCAGGCAAGGUCAGCUCGGGAGCCACCGGGGACGCGCCCCCGCGCUCCUCUCCAACGGGCUGGAUGCACCCCUCUCCGCUCGCGCGCUUCUGGCUGGCUGGCCGGCUGCAGCAGCAACAGGGGCAAUAGGCAUCCACCGUCGCCGACGCUCCGUCCCUCCCUCCUGCCCGCGGUGGGCGGCUGGCUGGCUGGCGCUCUCGCUUUCUUUCGGGCUGCUGCUGCAGAAGGGAUUUUGCACCAGACAACUUUUAGGCCGGUAGGAGUUUUGACUACCGCGGCGACAGCAGCAGCAGGAAGACGGCGCCGACUGUAGUGCAAAGGGUCGGAGCAAGGCGAGCCGAACCGAUCCCAGGGGCUCAGGCAGCAACCUCCGCCCCGCCUUCCCCCAAGCCUUGCGCCCGCCUCUCCCUCCCUCCCAAGCACCCCCCUUUUUUGAGGUUUUUGAAGACUUUGGUGAUUUUUGAAGCUUUUCCAAAACUUUCCCGACACCGUGCUUCGCAAGACGAAAAAAAUCGCAAGACGAAAAAACUCGCGGAACGAAUUAAUUUCGUCUUGCGAGGCACCACUGUACGGUAAUUCUAAUAUCAGGGUUACUGAAGUCUCUCAUGACUACUAUAUCUCUCCUCUUGGGAAGUUUGGUCACAUGAUCUAGGAAGGAAUUACCCGGGUCUUCUGCCUGGCUUGGCACUCUAGCACACCACCACACAGUGAUUAUUUAUUUUUACACAAAUGCUCUCAAUGAUCUUCCAUGUUCAGUUUCGUAGAUUUCCAGGUUUGUCACUGGGGGCCCAAGUUGUCUCGGUGUCUAGGAGUGCCAGAGUGCCUUUCACUAACUUCCACUCGUAUGAUAGCGAUAGCUAUAACUGUUAAAACGUCUGCAAAUCACAACUUUCUGUGGUGCUCUUGAACUUCCUCAGUAAUUACUGUUGUUCUUCUGUGAAUUCAAUUUAGUUACAAGCCCAAACAACAUUAUUUAGUUUUUCAGGCAUGUUGUUAACUUACUAUGAAUGCCCUCAUAUCUACUGACCUUGUACUAUAAUGCUUCUCUAUAUUGAGCCACAAAUGCAAUUUGUGUGGUUUGCAAAGAUGGUUUGAUUAGGAGUACAGUUAUGUUUAGAUAGGUGCUGAAUGGCACAGGUUCUGAUCAGUAGAAUUAAUUUUGUUGGACAGUCCGAGGAUGGAAUUCAUUGGACAACCUGAAAUGGUUCACUGUGGCCAUGGCUAAGAAAAUCUCAAGCACAUGGAAGAUGUAGGUAUUACUGGUACCUGAGAACUGGGAAUAGUUAUUCAACCCUGCAUUGGACUAUCACCUUAGGUUUCCAAGGGCAUCUAGGCAUGUAGAAUACUUUUCCUGGAGUUACUGUUAGUGAGAUCUGAUUUGUGUUGUGAGUACAGAAAACAGUGUUCUCUUGAAAAGAACCAUCUCUUGCUAUAAUAAUAGAAAAUCUUAUAUUCUUAGAGAGAGCUUCACCAUGAGACUCCAGAUUAGCUGUGCAGAUACAAUUCAGUAUGUUCACAAAUGUGUCAACAUUAUUUCAGAAGUUCAAGUAGAUGUUGAUGUGAUUUUGAUUGCUUCUGCAGUCAAAUUAUGCUGAUUCUGCUGUUUUAGUGAAGUAUCCAAUAAAGUUUAAAAAGCCCAUAAGAUUCUUGGGCAAGCAUAAGAAAUGACAUAAUUUGACAUAUUGCUAUUUUUCACUGCUAGGCUUUCACUACUUAUCCGUACCCCAGCCAGCCACAAAUAUUCUUCUCCUGCUGCUCCUUUUUAAGUUAUUUGUGUCACAAUGAGCUGCCUCAGAAUUUCUACAUACAAAGCAUAAUUCACCCUAAAUCAGAUUGUCCCUAUUUACCUCUAUUUUUUUCUGUAAAGUUAUUACAAUAUGACAUCUUUACCCCCAGCACAGCUUUCCUAAUGUUGGCUGCAACAUCAGGGCAGCAGCUUGCAAUCUAUGGAACCAAGAUAUAAUGCGCAGUGCCAGAAAUGAUUCUGCAGAAGCCUGUGUAUAUGUUUUAUUUACACAAACACACACACACACAUGCACACCUAUAUUCUAUUUAUAAAAUUAUUUCUAUACUCCCAUAACAUAAAAUAUAAGGGUGGUAUACAACAAUAAAACACUAUUAAAACAAUGCAGAUAAUCAUUAAAGUGACCGGCUAAUCAGUUUCAACAACUGCAAAGGCCUGCUGGCAUUUAAAAAAACCCACUCUUCCAGAGAUGCCGCUGAAAAUAAAAAAGCAAGAAUGCCUUGCCCAGUCUCUGCUGGAACAGUCUGUCUCAGCUUGGGACCUUGACACUAAAUGCCCAACUUCCAAUGGAGGCCAGUUGAACUUCCGUAGUGCAGGGGACAGCUAACAGCAGCACACCUCUAAUACCUGCUCUGAGGGCUCAGGGGGUCUUUAAAGUAACCAAGUUGUUCUGGGCUUUGUGUGUCAACGCAGGAGCCUUGAACUUGUCUCGAUAGCACAUGGGCAGCUGGGGCAGAUUUCUUAGCAGAGGUGUCCCAUGCUGCCAGCCACCCUGAGGCCGCUGGAGCUUGCACCUGCCAGGCCCAAGGACAGAGAGCACACGGUACUCAUCCGGCCGUGAGGCUACCGAUGCAAAUAUUACAGUGGCAGAGUGUUGUUGCUUCUUGAGUCAUGGGUUUGGACUACUGGAGGCAUGAACUUUCUGCAGUUUAGUGUACUAGGCUAUUCUCUUGCCUUGGCUUCUUGGAAGACAUGGGGAGCUGCGGAAGAGCCUGACGCUUUGCUAAGCUCGCAUUCAUUUCAGUGAGACCUUUGCAAGAAAAUGGCUCAGAGGGCUGUCUGUCCUUGAUGGCACACCCAGUCUGCAAAUUGAGCUGGUCACCUCACAUGAGUUCUUACACUUUAAGCGCUGGCCAUUAAUUAUGCUGUUCCUGCCAAAAUAACAAUAUCAAAUAUAAUGGCUUGGAUCCAGACCUGCUCUUGUACACGUGGAAUAACUUUUCUAAGUUUUGCCUCUUUCCCCUCCCUCCGUAGCCCAGCCUGUAUCACAUCUCAUACUAUUCUGGAGGGGCUACAUUUGGGAGGAGACCUCAUGUGUACAAAACUUCCUUCCAUAGAUAGGCAUUCUAUAGUGGACAUCAGGGAAAAUGACUUGUUUUGCAGUGUUUUCUUAAUGGAGAAAACUAUUUGCAAAUAGUAAAAAUCCUGCUUCUUCCUUAUAAUGAGUGAGUGACAAUAGGUUGUAAAGAAGGAUGAGCAUCAAAAUUUAUGAACUUAAAGGCUCUGCAAUGUAUCCAGGGUCAUGAAUUCCUUAUGGCACUUCUUAAAUAGAAAAGCAAGCAAGAUUUGUUGGUUUUGCUUAUAUAAUAAUAGAGUAUUAAUCGCCCUCCCUUGCAAGUCUUGAAGAAUAGAAACACAAGGAGCAGCAAAAUAGGAAUCUCUCGACAACAUUCUGUUUUAUUGUAAUGAGAAAAUAACGGUAUUUCCUGUGGUUCCUGUACACAUUUCCUGUUGUGAUGGUUUGUAAGGGAACUUGAGUUGAUUCACACAUACAUCUAUGUCACAUAUUGAUUUAAUUCAGAUAUGGCAUGAAGCCAUGUUUUGAUGCUCUUAACUAUCAUAACAUCCAUGUUGACAAAGCAUGACUUCUGACCAUCUAGCUAACUAAAAUAAGAGAAUGUGGGUUGAAGCAUAUUUUUGAAACUAUGGUUUACACAAGCUAGUUUGAUGAACUAUGGUGAUAGUCUCUGCUCCAUCUUCAUAAGCUGCUAUGUCCUAGAGAGCAGUGAUGAGGAGAUGGAAGCCCAAAGCAGUUCUCUCCCUGGUAGUUCCCUAAGCACCCCUUCCUCACCACUGGUCUUGCUCUGGCUGGUGGUUCCCUGUAAUCAAAGACCCCCAAUGUACCCGGGUUAAAAAGCAUAUAUCAGUAUACAGAGGUUACAAUGGCAGUAAUUAAAAUACCUGAUCUCUAUCUGAAAACUUUUAUUUAUUUCAUUAAGCCCGUAGCCUUGUUUUCUCAGUCUCCAAAUGCAUCUCAGUCCUCUAGCUACUCUUUCGCAAUCAACUUGAAGCAGGUACAGAGCAGAUUACUUCUGUUUUUGAAUUUGUUGUUGUUUUCAUGUCCCAGGUCUCUUCAUGGGUUAUGAAACUCCAAGGCACGUUGGUCAAGAUCAUGUCUGUGAAGCACUGACCAGGAGUGCAACCUUUGGCUCAUGUCUGCCUAUAGGUUUUUUGCACCUCUGUGGAAAACAGCUUCAGCUGCUGUUUUCAUUGUUCCAGAAUGCCCGUGAAGAGCUUUUGGGCAGCUGAAGGCAAAACGUGCUCAUUUCGAUCUGGGAAAUGGCAUUGCGAAAACUUGCCUAUGCCAGACACAAGGGGUUUCUAUCCAGUGAAGUCAUCUGGUUAGAACAAGGACUUGUUCCACUUGUGCAUCAGGACUUCCUCUCUUCUCAUGCACCCCUUGCCCACACCCCCAAAAUCUGUUAUGGGGUUUCCCCCACCUAUCUGGAGAAGAUUGGGGUUGCGGGAAGAAAGAUCUGCUGUAGAGGCAAAAGUCCUUGUGCUAACAGAACAGCUUGGUUGGAUACAACUCAAGAAGUGUGUUGCUGAGGAAGGCAGAUAAUCAGCAGGGUCAGACCUUUACCUAAAUUAUUCUGGCAAAAAGAGGGAGGAAGACGGGUUAUAGCCAGUGCUUUUUUUCUGGGGGUGCUCAAUGGUAUGCAGCACCGGCACCUCCCCCCCCCAAAUGUCAAAAGUGUGGCACUUGCUGUAACAAUUUUAUGGUGAGUAUCUGUGCCUUUUUUUCUUUUUAAAAAAGCACUGGUUAUAGCUGUAUAAGAAACUAUCAUUGCUAUGGAUUUUCUCACCUACCUAUCACCUUGAAUAGUAGACUUCCUUGCCAUACCACAAAUAGUAGUGUACUAAUCUGUGCAGUUUGAAAGCAGGUCAAAGUGCAAGUAUAUAAAUAGGUUCCGCUCCGGCGGGAAGGUAAAUGGUGUUUCCAUGUGCUGCUCUGGUUCACCAGAAGCGGCUUAGUCCUGCUGGCCACAUGACCCGGAAGCUGUACGUGGGCUCCCUCGGCCAGUAAAGUGAGAUGAGCGCCGCAACCCCAGAGUCGGUCAUGACUGGACUUAACGGUCAGGGGUCCUUUACCAUUUUUUAAAUUAUUAUUCAACUGAAGUUUCUGAGUAGAUUUGAGGUUGAGUGCAACAGGUAUACAGCUGAGUUAUUCAGAGAAGCUAUGAACUAUGCCGAGCAGGGCUGCUCCUAACAGAAUAUUAAAAACACGAUAAAACAUCAAACAUUACAAAAUGUCCGACAUACCUAUUGUGGCAAGUGUUAAUGGUAAGGAUCAAUGGGGCAAUGGCAUUUUAUUGCCCCAUAAUAAAGUGCCUGGCGUGCUCUGGUCCAUGGGGUCACGAAGAGUCGGACACGACUAAACAACUAAACAACAACAACAGGAGCAGCCCAGGAGUACUACUACUAUUACUACUAUCACCACUACAGUCAUACCUUGGGUUGAAGUAGCUUUGGGUUGAGCUUUUUUGGGUUGUGCUCCGCGGCGACCCGGAAGUAACGGAAUGCGUUACUUCCGGGUUUCACUGCAUGUGCAGUCGCUCAAAAUGACGUCACGCGCAUGCACAGAAGUGGCGAACCGUGACCCGCGCACGUGAAGACGUGCAGACGCGGGUUGCGUUCACUUCACGAUGCGAAUGGGGCUCCAGAACGGAUCCUGUUCGCAUCCAGAGGUACCACUGUACUACUAUUUGUAUUUUGGAAAAGGUGGAAUACGCCACUUGGUAUAAUUAGUGAAAGUGCUGAACGUCAAGGAAUUUAUUAAGGAAUCAUUCUUUCCUAGAAUGCGCUUUAUUACUAUCCUAUGUUUUGCUUCACAUUACUUCCAGAUUAAUUGGAGAGAGCUCAUAUAAGUUGAAGAUAUCCUCUGCUUUGAACAGCAGCAUUAUUGCCUGCUUACAAGCGGGUAAAUAACCCAGAGGGUCUCUGCCAAAGCUUCUUCCAUCUUAAACACUGAUCCUUUCACAUUUCUUUACUAUAAAUAACAUCUUUGAAAAUGGUUGGCAUUGGUAAUACUUACGUCUCCUAAUGUAUAUGCAUUCACAUGAUCACUUAGGGAGAUUAUUUUCCAUCUGUAAUGCCACCAUGGAUGCAGAUAGAAUGUGGAAGUGGUUAACCACUAGAAUGGGCCCACUGCCUUCGCUGUGUGGUGCUAAGGAACCUCACUUUCUUGAGUAACGCUAAAUAAGAUUCAGUACCACUCACCCUGAUGUAUGCUGACCUGGGCUGGAGUGGAAACUGCUCAGCAUUCAGUGUGCAAAAUAACAGAUUACAGAGAAAGUAUGAUAGCUUUCAUACAGAUGACUACAAAUGAAAGCUUUUUUAAAUUAAAUGUUAUGUUUUUCAUUUCAUUUUAAAUUAUUUUUAUGCAUACCAGACUUUCCUUCAGAAGAAAGGAAUUUGGCAAAUAUUACGUAGAUUUAGCUAGAACCUCAUAAUUACUAGUUUUAAAUAGUGUUAAUCAAAUAUUAUCAUCUUCUUAUGGGGGUUCAUGUAUAAACUACAGCAUGUUGAAAUAAUCUGCAUCUCCAUCUGAACAUCUGAAUUCAUUUUGUAGAAUAUGGCAUGCAGCUGCAUUUAAAUUCAAAGGAAAAACAACUGCAGUACAUUGACCUACUGAAUAUUACAGUAGGUUUUGAAUUUCAUGUUAGUUGGAUUUAUUGGAGAAAAUUGAUUUGAGUGCUUCUGCUUUUGGCUGAGAUUUUUUUAAUGUCCGGAAGAAAGGAAAUGGGACAUGCAUAUGAUCAGACUUUGAUGUGUAAAGAAGUUAAUUAUCUAAGCCAGCUAACAGAUCUUAGCUGGGGAAGUAAUUAUUUUAAACGGUACAGGGUGGUCUAAUGAGGUGCAGGGUUCAUCUAAAUAAAAUGUUCUACACCUACUUAGCUUAUAAGCGUAAUAACGUGGCCAUAGAAAAAACGUUGCUAGCUGGUAGCAGUUGGAGCGUUCAGCAUUCUUUCUUUCUUUUUGUUCAUCAUCAUCAUGUGCACAUGUAUAGAGAGGUGACUCGCUGGGUUUCACGCGCCUGCUUAAAAGUAUUUACAUGACCCGAAGUUAAGAGGCCAGAGGGAGUGGGCACCCAAAGGUUGCCCACUCAGGCCAGGGCAGCUUGCCAGCUUGGGGCAGAGGGAGACGUGGGGAGAAUGGGUCAGUUGCCUUCUUUCCAGUCUAUUGGAACUCGCAGUUUCUUUCGCUCUUGGAUUUUGAGGAUUUCUGUAAAAGGGGCAGAAAAGAGGGCAGGCAGCUGCCAAAGCAAAUAGGGUUUUGAUCGCUCAGGUUUUAGACUGAAAGCAGUGUCUUUUCUGCAGUCGGCCUGAGGCUGUGGAAGGAUCUGCCCCCCACUGUUUUGCUGAUUUUUGGAGAGGAUGCAAAACCUGCCUCUUCCGAGAAGCCUGUUUCUGUUGACAUGCCCUGUGUUUCUGGGUUGCUGCUGCCAUCGAUUUUUAAAAUUGCUUUUAAUUUAUUUGGUUUCUUCUUCAAAGUUUAUUUGAGUCACAGGGUACAUUUGUUUUCACCAUCUUCUAUGAAUAAUUUUGCCCUCCCAGAGUUAAAUGAGGGCACUGUGGGUAAAGAGAUUCAGACACUGGCCCAAUGGCCAUGUUCUACCUCCACUGCCUUUCACAAGUGGGGGGCGGGCGGGGGGGGGAGUACUGUUGUGCCCAGGUUCUAGCUCUGGUUUCCCACAGUCAUCUGGUUGGCCAUUGUGGGACCAGGAUGCUUCCCAUUCCCUUUGUUGUUUGAAAAGUAUUCCAAAUACACCGAUAAUAACAGCACAGGGCCUAAAGCUCAAUCUCAUCUAUGAAUUGUGUAGCUCAAUCCUAUGCAUGUGUACUCAGAAAUAAGUUUCAGUGGGUUCAGUCUCAGAUGAGCCUGCAUAGCGCAGCAGCCAAACUUUCCCCAUGAGCAGGAAACCUGUGAUUCCCCACCGGCCACGUCUGCUCUUAUUGCUGUUUAGACUUCUGAAGUUUAGCACAAAGAAUUGAUUUAUGAGAGAUGUGGGUGUAGGGAUGUGAAUCAAGAGGAUGAGAGUCAAUAAAAGACCAUUAAAAUUAUCUGGAGGAAGAGACAAGUAUUACACCACACCAUGAACAAAUUGCUGUCACUCAAAUUCUGGUUAUUCUUUUAAUAAUUGCUUUUGCUAGUUGCCUAGUCUGAAAAUUAAUUGCAUUUUGGUUCCCCUUCCUUUGUGUUGUCAUCUUUAAAUUGUAUUCUCCUUAAAAAUGAAAUAUUAAUAAGCCAGUUUGGAUUAGCAUACAAAUACUGUAACCCCUGCCUUUUAGCCUCAUCUUCCAUAGCUUAAAAAACAACACCACAUACUAAAAUGCCAUGUUAUCUCUAAUACACUGUUGACAGAAAUACGGGACAGCGUCUAAGAACAUGGCAAUCCAUCUAUGCUCUCCAGUUUCUGGGAACUCAAACUACAGAAUUAGUAUUCAAAAUUACAGAAAAUAACUUUAUUCAAACCCAAGCUGCCUUCGGCAUAUUGAAAAAUCACAGGAAUCACUUGUUCUGUACUGCCGGGCAAUGGCAUCAUGUGAUGAAGGAAUUCCCUUCUGUGGGCAAAAGGACACUAGAAUAUUGCCCAGAAAUCCCCGUGACCACACAUGUGCACACCACUGCAUAUGAAUAAUUGUACCUACGUACAGAUUAGCAACCAGUGUACACUGUAGGUAGACUGUACACAUGUUGAAUGCUACAUGUGAUGCACACGUAUACAGGCCUGUGCAGAGCUUGUCCAAUGCCCAUGGUGGGAGUCUUGUUAGAAUAACAUAGUAACUCUAACCCCAAAGCAGCCGGUCCCUGGCAGGCCCCCCAGCAGGGCUUUGCCCUCCGAGGCCUGGGGCAAGUGUACCCAGCUGCCGUCCACUGCAUGGGCUUGCAUACCAGUGGCGGAGCGUGUGCUACUGCCACGCAGGACGGACAUGGGGUGCCGAGGGAGCCUGCUGUGGCCGUACUGGCCCAGCCCUUGCUGCUGCUUCAAGUCAGUCCAAGUUUCCUAGAAGGCCUUUAGAGAAAAGAUGGGGCCUAGUGGAUGAAGAAUCAGCUUGCUUGCUUGCUUUCUUAAGGUGCUUUCAUGUGCCUGAGAGUUUGGAACUUUGCUGGAAACUGGACUUACAUGGAAAACUGAAAUGUCAUUUCAAAAGGUCAGCUGAGAAAUGACAAUAGUUUAUAUCACGUUUCCCACCAAUACGUUGUGGAAUAUAGUUUCACUUCAAAACCUGGUCUGUCACUUCCUGUUCAUCUUUGCUUUUGGGCAAAAGAAAUAUAUAUUAAUAUAAAAUCUCCUGUGUGAUCAAGGAGAAAAAUUGACUUGUCCAGUAUUCAGAGCAAUACAUUUAAAAUAAGACUUGUGGAUAAUUAUGGCGUGAAAUACAGCACUAGUUAACCAUAGUAACAAAAAACUUGUAUAAAUUUUGUGCUUUAGGAAAUGUGUAUAGGUGAAAGGUAAAACUAUAAUAGGCAAAUCUAAGAGUGCUGACUGAGGGCAAAUGAUGCUAACAUCUGCUUUUCAUUCUUUAAAGCCACUGUUGCUAAUAAUAAUGUAAGAAAUGAGUAGACCAUGGAUAAAUGAAGGCUUACCAGAUUUUUGCAAGUCAGAAAGAUUAGUGGAGGGGAACCAGCAACAAUUCUGUGGGUACUAUCAUUUUAAAAUGUUAUCUGAUGACAGGAAUCAAAGACCAAAGCAUUUGUAUGAGUUGGUAGUACAUUAGUUGACAAUUCUCCCGAUUCCCGUUAGAAGUAUGUUAUAUAAAAAAUAAUUUGGGUUUUCAGUCUAAUAAUUAGUUUUGUUCAGAAUAUGGUGUGUUGCUCAUAAUGCUUAUAGUGUUUGUUGCCAGCAUAUGAAUAUUACUUGUGUAAUAUCUGUGGUUCUGUCUGACAGCAAGAGCCGUUCCACCGUGGAACAGGCUCCCUCUCCUUCCCACUGGCGGAGGAAGAGAUGUGCGGGGGAGCGCACCGCCCUGGCAGCGUGAUCCUGGCGGGGUGCCAUCGCGGCUGUCCCCCCUGCCCCGCUGGGUGCCACGCCCCUACACGCAGCACACCAUGCCCCUACGGGUGGCGCGCUAUGCCCCCGGGAUGCGCGCCAGCCCCGCCCCCUCCUGCUCUCCGCCCCCCGGUGCCAGAGCAUGAAGCUCCACCACUGCUCCUUCCUUGGAGGUUUCUGAGCAGAUGUUAGAUGACCAUCUGUCAUGGAUGAUUUAGUUGAGAUUCCUGCACCUAGGUGAGACUAGAUGACUCUCAGGGUCACUUCCGACUCUACAGUUCUAUGAUUCCACGAUAGUAUUCAUAAUUGUGGCCUUCCCUGCCACUUGUAAAGCUUAGAGCACAUUACCCAAAUAUGUCACCAAAAGUAAGACUUAUAUGACAGUAGCCAUGAUAAUCUAGUAGAAAUGUUAAAAGACUAGCUUUGACCUUUCCUUUUAGAUUACGCCAGUUGAUGCCAAGAACCGCUUCACGUUGGCUCAUUUUUUCUAGGCUUUUGUUUCAUUAAGGAUCUUUGUAGAUGACUAUGUUUUUCCUUUGUUGACAAAGCAUAACAAUGAGUAUAUGAUGUCAGUAGCAUGUUUUCUUAUUAAUAUAUUCUUACUAACCCCAUAGCUCAGUUGGAUAGAGUGUGGUGCUGAUAACGCCAAGGUCGCAGGUUCGAUCCCCAUAUGGGACAGUUGCAUAUUCCUGCAUGGCAGGGGGUUGGACUAGAUCAGGCACCCCCAAACUUGGCCCUCCAGCUGUUUUGGGACUACAGCUCCCAUCAUCCCUAGCUAACAGGACCAGUGGUCAGGGGUGAUGGGAGUUGUAGUCCCAAAACACCUGGAGGGCUGAGUUUGAGGAUGCCUGGACUAGAUGAUCCUCAGGGUCCUUUCCAGCUCUGUGAUUCUGUGAUCUGGGAGAAAGCCCCAACCAGUAGUUCUUAAUUCUGAGCAGAUGUGGUUGGGAUUGCAGUAUUAGGAUGCAGAUACAUUAGUCAAUUAUAUGCCUUAUUCAUUAUUUUUAAUGUAUAUAAGCAGUUUUAGUGAGAGAAGGGGUGAAUGAAAGUUAGUUCUGCAUGAUAGGUAAGGUCAUUUAAAGUAGCUGUAAAGGUGAAAAGCCUGAUUAUGUACAGGAACUGCAUUCAUGUAACUGGAAAGAAUGGGGGUUUGCACUUGAGUAAUCCAAGUCCUUCAGUCGGUCAGCGAAAUAACAUUCACGGGUAUUUUCCCCAGGUUGUGGUGUCUACUUGAUACUGUCUUGCUGAAAGUUCUUAAGGGUUACAGUUUAGGAAGUGAAAACUGGUUGUAUACUUCUUAAUAAGUGACUGGGAGUGGCUUAUGGGACCAUAUAACACCAGCCCUAAAGGACCUUCACUGGCUCCCAGUACAUUUCUGAGCACAAUUCAGUAGUGUUGGUGCGGACCUUUAAAGCCCUAAACGGCCUCAUUUCAGUAUACCUAAAGGAGCGCCUCCACCCCCAUCGUUCAACCCGGACACUGAGGUCCAGCACCGAGGGCUUUCUGGCGGUUCCCUCACUGUGAGAAGAGCAGUUACAGGGAACCAGGCAGAGGGCCUUCUCGGUAGUGGCUCCCGCCCUGUGGAACACCCUCCCAUCAGAUGUCAAGGAAAUAAACAACUAUCUGACUUUUAGAAGACAUCUGAAAGCAGCCCUCUUUAGAGAAGUUUUUAAUGUUUGAUGUUUUGGUGUGUUCUUUUAUACUUUGUUGGAAGUCUCCCAGAGUGGCUGGGGUACAAGAAAUAAAUUGUUGUUGUUGCUGUUAUCAUUAUCAUUAUUAUAGCAAAUACAGUCAUACCUCGGGGUAAAUGUAGCAUUGGAAGAGACCUCAAGGGACAUCUAGUCCAACCCCCUGCAAUGCAGGAAUCUCAGCUAAAGCAUCCAUGACAGAUGGCCAUCCAACCUCUGCCCACCUCCUCCCAAGGGAGUCCACUCCACUGUCUAACAGCUCUUACUGUCAGAAAGUUCUUCCUGAUGUUUAGACAGAAUCUCCUUUCUUGUAACUUGAAUCCAUUGGUUUGAAUCCUAUCCUGCAGAGCAGGAGAAAACAAGCGUCCUCCACCUUCCAUGGGACAGUCCUUUGAAGAUGGCUCUCAGACCUCCUCUCAGUCUCCUCUUUUCCAGGCUAAACAUGCACAACUCCCUCCACCGUUCCUCAUAAGGCUUGGUUUCCAGACCCUUGACAAUCCUAGUUGCCUUCUGCUGCACAUGUUGCAGCUUGUCAACAUCCUUCCUAAACUGUGGUGCCCAGAACUGAACACAGUAUUCCAGAUGUGGUCUCACCAAGGCAGAAUAGAGUGGACUAUUAUUUCCCUUGAUUGGGACACUAUACGUCCGUUGAUACAGCCUAGAAUAGCGUUAGCUUUUUUUGCUGUUGACGUAACUCAUGUUAAGCUUGUGGUCUACUAAGACCCCUAGAUCCUUUUCACAUGUCCCCCAUCCCAUAUUUGUGCAGGGAGCAUUCGCGCAGCACACCUGCGCACUGCAGCCAACACACUAACAUGUCGUGACACAGUUUGGAAAGCUCUGGUCUUUGGCUUCCCUGAGUACAAGACUUUGUUAGGACAUGUGCACUGCUGUUCGUAACGUAGAAAAUUGUCGGACUACAAAACUAUGGCCAUGCACUGCAUUGUGUGGCAGACCACAAAACUUCGCGAUGAUACUUUGUGACUUCUUUCCCCCCCACAGCUCAGACACUAUUGUUGACAUACACACAAAAGUGUGUUUUGUUCUGUUGAUGACUGUGGAGCUGAACAUUUCAAAAAUAAAUUAGGGCACUCUGCCAAGGGUUAACACAACAUAAAAAUAGGCAUUUUUAGAUGUUUGAGAAUGCUCAGCAUAAGAACAAGUAUAUUGGAUACACUUUACUUUUGUCAGAGGAACAUUUUAAAUCAGCGUGAAGACUGAAGAGGUAGAUAAAAUGAAGGAAUUUAUUACAUAUGAGCUGAGCUUAAAGCUAAACUUAAGCCACCAAAGGUUGUGAGGAAGAGUGAGGUAGCAGCAAGUUCUAUUGUCACUCAGUUUGAAGACAAGAUUCCAAAUUUGGAAGGUAAGAAAAACAGUGUUAGAUUUGAGAGAGUCUGCAUAAACUGCAAUAAAGUCACCCCCCCCGUCAGAAACGUUAACAUAAAGGACAUGAAAGAGAAAAACAGUUUGUGAUAGGAAGGGGAAGGUUGCAUUCUUCUAAAAAAUAGUUUCAGCAUUAAAUGGUGAUGCACUGUAUGUAUGCAGAUACUAUGCAGAGAACUUGAAAAAUGUUUUACUAGGUGGAUAUUAUUUUUGAGUGGGAUGAAUUUCGAAGAAGUUCCAAGCAAUUAAGCAGUCUGAACUUGUUUGAUUUUUUAAAAAAUAGAGCUCAUCAAACCAUAUCAGACUGUUACUUGCCUAAACGCUAAAAUUAGGAAACUGCUUUCCAUUAGGGAGAGGUGUACAAGGGAAACCAUCUUUCUAUAACUUUCCAAAAUAAUUUAGACAGCCUAAGAGCCAUAUUUGAGUGAGAAUGUGUUCAUCUUGGUCACCGGUGGCUACAAAGUAAAAAGUAAUUUGGCAGCAGCUUGGUGAACAUGCAGAAGGUUUGCUCUGCUUUGCCUUAUAUUAAGAAUAAUUCACUAUAUGCAGAGUUAAGUAUUCACAGUGAUCUAGUGUUAGAUUUUAAACAGGUUAGUGAAUGUAAUAAUCUUAAAAAUAAUUGACCUUUCUGAACAGGAUAUGCAUCUACACAUAAAAGAUCCUGCAGGUGAUAAUAUCAAAUUGUAUCAGAUGUCAACUACUGAUGAUUCUCUACUCAGUUUCUGGGGGGAAAACUUUAGAAGCAAAGUGCUUUCAGGACUUAUUUUCCUUUGGUUCAAGAGGUAUGCAUGACAUCAGGUCUGAGGAAAUAGGAGAAAAAACUUCAGUGUCAGGAUUCUGCAGAAACCACAAAACCUUUUCCAUAUCUUUUGAGAGAAUGAGCUCAGUGCUUGGUCCUCCUGCAUCACUUAUGUGUGUAAAUCUUGUAGGCAGGUUUUGAGGAAUUACUGCAGAAAAAAAUCUAAUCUAAUCCAGACCCUGUGAUUGAGGCAGAUUUGGAAAGUGUGGGACAGUUCUUUCUAGGCACGACCCACUUUUAAAGGUCCUUGUCCAAGUGCCCUUGCUUUUUUCUGCUCCAGAGCUUUCCGCGCAAAAACCUGCUCUUUAAAGCUCAGUCAGAGCAAAUGGCAAUCUAUGGAAAACCUGAAUUGAUGUUUGUUCUGAUUGAGCACAAAAGAGUUGGUUUUUGUGGGGAAAGCUCUGGGCAAAAAGCCCACAAAUUCUCAGAAACAAAGCUUUUAAACACAGAUCUGUGCCUGGGGCAAAAGUGAAGCACUGAGGGGGAAUUUGAACCCUGGUCUCCCAGGUCCUAGACCAGUGCUCUAAUCACUGCACCAAACUGGAUUGAAAACGAACACAUAGAAUAGAAUAGAAAAUCUGAGGGAAUUCAAUACUUCUCUCUGACUUUCAGGCAAAAUAGGGAAACAGUUUUGAAGUUCAAGUAAGAAUGAAAAAAGCUAGCUCAAAUGGAUCAGAUACUAUUGACAUUAUCCAAUGAAACAUGAGUGACAUAUAUUAUCCCUCAAGUUCUCCUGUUUUGGAGAAUUGGUGCUUAAUUGCUCUGUGGUAUGACUACCACUCAGGUUCCAGGAUGAAAAAGGCUCACUUCUAUGCAAACCAAGCCUUUAUUGCUAAUAAUCAUAAAUGAGAUUUGCAUGGUUUACAGCAGCAUGCAUAUGAUUGCAAGAAAUUGUAAAUAAAGUUUAUGGCGCUCUAUUUGAGCAGAAAGAAGUUGCUGGGUUUGGCGAGAAAAUAAAAGAUAAAAUAAACUCAGAGCAGAGAUUGAAGUGAAGUGUGAGGAGAGCAAGAUACUUUUUUCUCAAUAAAUAAAGUUUAUUUUGCUGUGUGCUUAUGGCAGCUUUGAAGAAAUGUAGUCAACUCCAUCAAGUGAGGUUAAGUAAAGGAGGGCAUAAAUGAAGAAGAGAUAAUAGAUGCUAUAGAUAGUCCUAAUGUCACACAAUGCAGAUGCAGUAUAUGUAUGAAAAGCGUAAUAAGAAAAUAUGUAAACUGAAACAUGAUGUUUCAGUUAACUGCAGAUUUAGAGGCUGUUCUGAAAGUGAGCAUAAAUGCUCAUGUUAUGCUCAGGAGAAAUCUACAUAUGAAAGAGGAUUAGUUUAUGGUCCUAUGGGAUAUAUUGUGGGUUUGAAAUAUGGCAUAUUCUAAAAGCAGGUGAAACAGAUAAUAGUCAAAUUUGAUAGGGCUGCUGAACUAGAAAGUUGCUCCAUAACUGAGGUUGAGUUUCCAUUAAUAAGGGACACGCAUGUUGUGAGGAAGCAGUUUCCUCCCGUAACAUUAUAUAGUUUACCAUUCAUAAGUCUCAGGGACUUUCUUUUAACCGAGAAGCGCUUUUCAAGGCAAGCGUGAGUUGUGUAGCUUUAUCUAGGCUAUGGAAGUUAACUGGUCUACAUCUACUGGCAUGUGGUCCUUUAAAAAUAUUCUGUGGCACAACGUGCAUAGAUGAUGAAUACAAUAGACCUGCACAGUUGAUUCCUACCUCAUCUGCUUCUUCUAGAAAGGCCACCAAAGAAGGGACAGACUGUUUCGCCCUCUGUAAGUCAAAUAGGAAACUGGGCCAAAACCCUAAAAUGUGAUGUUGAAACCACAGAAUGUGGGGUGGCACUUCCAUGGGAUUUCUGUAAUGACCCUGGAAUGUUCAGAAUUAUUUGGGCCCAAGAUACCUUAAGGACUACUUAAUCCAUGGGUAGGCAAACUAAGGCCUGGGGACUGGACCCGGCCCAAUUGCCUUCUAAAUCCGGCCCGCAAACGGUCCAGGAAUGAGCGUGUUUUUACACGAGUAGAAUGUGUGCUUUUAUUUAAAAUGCAUCUCUGGGUUAUUUGUGGGGCAUAGGAAUUUGUUCAUUUUUUUCCCUUUUCAAAAUAUAGUUUGACCCCCCCACAAGAUGUAAUGGACAGUGGACCGGCCUCCUGCUGAAAUAGUUUGCUGACCCCUGACUUAAUCCUUUCUAUCCCUGCCCAAUCAGCAGGGCCUGGGGGGGGUCACAGUUAGUGGUCCCCCAUAGCUCAUAUCCCCCAGGAACUUUAUGGAACUUUCUAGUUUUAUGGAACUUCCUUCCAGUUGAGGGCAGGCUGGUCCCCUCUCUAUUGAACUUCAGCUGCCUACAGAAGGCUUUUUUUAUACCAGCAGGCAUUUCAAGUGAAGUUUGCUUUUAUAGUUUUAACUGAUUUUUAUUUUUUUGUAUUGUAUCUUUGUAAACAGCUUAGAGACUAUGACAGCUAGGUGGUGUUUAAAUAAACAAAUUAGCAGUAAUUUCAAAAUAAGCAACAUUUAAGCAAAUAACAUUUAACAUUUUAGUUGAAUUCUGUCAUUCAUCUUAAUUGCUACUAUUACUAAUGGUGCUUGCGUACUUUAGUCAGCUAUGUUGCUUCAGUUGCCUGGGGAAGGGAAAAAUAGUAAUUUUUAAUUAUGCUGAAUAAGGCAUUGUGAAUGUCUGAAUGGAACAGCACUCACUUGAUAUUUUAAAGCAUGCACACAUUGUUCAUGGGUUUUGAUUUGCUAUUUUUCAUUAUGUGGUGUUUGCUCUUGUAUACCUGCAAACAUUGUGGUUUUCUUUGUUUACUCAGAUGAGUGGUACUGGAUCUAGUCCAAUGUCGACUAUUGCUCCAUCAGGCAGCGGAAGAGGGACUGGGAAAUCAACAAACUUUACUCCUGAACUGCAAAGUAUGAUGUAAGUAUCCCUUUUGUUUCCAUAUCUUACUACAUUCACAAUUCCACAUAACUAGGAAGCAGAAUUAAUAGAGGGCAGAUUGGUCCCAUAUAUGCUCAUUAAUUAAUUAAGUUUGGAAAUGGUUUUUAAGAUUUAUUAAGUAACUUAGCAGGCACUCUUGUUGUUGGAUUUGAAAUCACAUGUAGCUAAAAUAAACUUACAUAUAGGAAAUAUAGGGUAUGCUAUAUAUUUUUCACUGUCUAUUAUAGGGUGCUUGAUCCUAGGAUUGGAAGGAAUAUUUUCUGUUCGUUAAAUUACUUUUCUUUCUUUUUAAAAAUGUAUUAUAUUUUAGAGUUGCUUUUUCAUGACGCACAUUGGUAUGUUGCGAUAAAAUAAUGCUGUUUGUGACAGAAUUAACAUGUGGACCAUUUGGAACUGAUUAGUCUUUGCUCUUGACAAUAAGAAUAAUUUCUUACAAAGAACAGAAAUUUACUGUAAAAUGACAUAGUGAUGCAGUUCUAAUUUGUGACAAGACUGGAAUACUGUUGUUGUUUUAUCUCAGAAUACCUAGAUUUUCAUAAAGUCGUUGGCUUCAUAUUUUUAAAAUUCCAUAAUUGGGAGGAUUCCAUACUUAAAGCUUGAUUAGUUGCCUUCUACAAUGGGCCAGGCUACAAAUCUUGAUUUGGUGGAAGGCAACCUAUUAAUCAGGGAGGCUGACCUGCCAGCACAUGCCAUGUUUUCUUUUAUAUAAAUCCAAGAUGUAUUGGUCUGCAGAAAGUGGAGAGAACUCAAGCUAAUGAGUUCUUUCUCUAUGGAUCAUUAUUUCUGAUUUAUCAAGGAGUUAAAAGAGAAUGUUCAGCAUAAGACUUAAGAUUUUACUCUUCUCUCAGAACUGCAGAUGGAGAGCAGGGCAGGUCCAUUUUUGUAUUGCAUUUGUUUAGUUUUAUUAUGAAUGUACCCCCCUAACUCUUUAGUGAUAGUAAUUGGCCAUGCACCUACAUAAUUUGCUGUUCUUGGGAGUGCUGUACACCAGUAAUGGUGCUUGAUUUUGUAUAGCAAUGAGGUAAUAUGCUUAAAGAAUUUUUACACCCAUCUGCUGGAAAAGAAUUGUAUACACUUUUAAAGCUGGGACAAAUGUCUUCUUGUCACUCUAAAGAACAGCAUCUGUCUUCAAAGAAGCAGACAAUAAUUAUAACCAUUCAAAGCUUAUUCUUUUUCAGUAAAAAGUUCAGUUAUGUCAGAAUUACUCAUGUAAACACAGUUUGGACCACUUGGACUGCUAAUGUUUGUUAGCCUCAGAACUAAAUUAGGUUUGAAAGUGGUGUCGUUAUAAAUAGAUAUAAUGCCAAGUGACACAUUGUCAUAUUUAGGGGCUGAGAACAGGCACCUGGAGAUAUCGCCCAAAUGUGUCUGGGCCUGACUGAGUCUGUAGUUAUUCAAAACACCUUUUUCGGUUUAGAUAGCCAUUUUGGAUUUACUUUUGGAAGGAAGAGCAGGGUGCAAUGUUCUGGCUGCUCUUAGCUUUCUGCCUUUUUAGUGCUAGAAGGCAGAAGAUGGUGAAUUUAAACCACUGCUGCUAGUAUCAAGCUUUGGAAAAAUAGGUUGCUGCUGCUCUCUCAGCAAUAGUUUGGUUUCUGUGGGGGCAAAGGCCAUUGGUAUUGUCCAGAAGAGUGAAUGGGUGAUUGCUCCCUCCCUGACUAAUUACCUACUUAGAAGCCUUUAAGAGUUCAGUGUACCUGGCUCUUGUCCAGUGGGUCUUCUUUUUUGGGUGGUGGGAUUGUAUUGCUAUCCAUAUCUUUAUUCCUUGUUACAUAUUUCUUAGUCUUGAGAAGUUAAUGUUUCCUAUCCCAGUAGACAGAUGUUAUACCAGCCUGGAACACCUGGCACGUACAGAUAUUACGACUUGCUGCAACUGUGGGUUUACACCACCCUGUGUGCAGUGGCAAUUGCCAUGCAGUACCCAAGCAGUUGUGGAAUUAUUUCCAAAAAUCACACGAAAGAAGAUCCUCCUUGUGCAUUAGAAUGCUUGCACACUGGCUUAUUCUUGGCUGUUUGGUAGAGGGCGUCUCUGCAUGACAAUUUCUAAAAUACUAAAGCAGAGAGUUUCAAAGUGCAUCAAAAGCACGUCAUGUAUAGUAGUAGCACAGAGAAAAGCUCAUAAUGGGGUUCCAUAAUUUAGAAGUUCCAAUUAAAAAAAAAAAAAAAACUUUGUGUGACUGACCUGUAUGUCAAGGACUGUGAUCCAAACACCCAUUGCCCCAGGUAUUCAGUAGCCUGCACAUAAAUAUCCAAUUAUAUGGGAAACCCAAACACUAUUGGCAUAGUAGCACUUAAUCAGUGCCAUGCUGGAGAAAAUAUGCCACAGCAAAGUAUGUCAGUGGGAAACUCUAGGAUUCACUCAUAAAGUUUCUCUGACUUAAGUGAGGCUCUGACGCCUUGCUAGGAAAUGAUACAAUUAUGUUUCAUUUCAAAUACAUUUUUUAUCUUAGGUUUCCUUUCCCUUGGCAAUUCUUGGACUUUUUAAAGUUAGUUUCCCUAAAAGCGUUUAUCUAAAUUGAAUAAUUCAUAUUUUGAUAUUCAGACUGGGAGGAAAUAUAACAGAACAUUACUUGGGCUUGGAAAUCAAAGGAAGGACGUGAGUCUAGUGAGCUGUUGUAGGCCAAACUGAUUCUUUGGGCAAGUAGCAGAGAAGCUUUUAUUUUUAUAUAAUUGCUGACUUCCUGAUUAAGCACUUUCUUAACUCCCCUCCCUGCCAGUAUACACACAAUUCCUGUCAGUGCAGAAGUUAUUAUUGGCUAUGUAAGUGAAGACCUAGACAUCUUCAUAGUGUUUUGGACCUAGUGCUGUUUCUACUUUUAAAAGCAAUCCAAACAAGUAGACUUUGAUUCUGAGAUACAUUUCACCAACUCUUCUGUUGACUUCACUGGAGCUGGUGGAAUUCUUCCAGUAGGUUUAUUUGUGUGCAUUUUUCUUGAAAAAAAUAUACUAUUAGCAAAUAAUAAUUACAUGUCAGGAAUAGACUGUGGACAUAAAUAUUAAAAUUGUUUCCUUUGGCUUCUGCUCUAUAAUAGGUUGCCACAAGAACUUAUCUAGAAUCCUUCAGGAACUUAAAAAAAAACUGCACCACGUAAUUUACAGGCUACUUCUAAAAUGCAUUUAUUUGAGGUAUAUUGAUUUCACUGAAACCUUCCUCCAUCUUUGCAUCAUUAGGAAGCAAUAUUGUUCUGUAUAGAACUAAUUUUGAUCUUGUUCACAUACGAUUGACCAUUAGUUUAUUUUAGGCCUGUUACUUGCCAGACCUGCUAGCCACCCCAUGACUUAAUUACUUACAGGCCGGGUUUGGACAUAAAAGUAGGGUUUGAUUAACCAUAUUGUGCACAAGCUUCAAGCCGGAGAAUGCAGGUCAAAUGCUGCUACUUCCAUUCUCUCUCAGUUGAAGAGGGGCCAAACCACAGAGCGGCUGGCUUAGCUAGCGUCAUGUCUGAACCAGCACUCAGGGCUUGUUUCUCCAAACAGAUCACAGCCGGGAAGCCAAGGUUUGUUCUUGGCUUCUUGAUAUGAAGGACACCUGGCUUGCCAGUAAUACCCGUCAAUGUUACAAGAAAGGAGAUUCCAGCUGAACAUCAGGAAGACCUUUCUGGCAGCAGGAGCUGUUUGACAGUGGAACAGACUCCCUCAGAAGGUGGUGGACCUUAAAAACUUUCACUGGAGGUUUUUGAGCAGAGGUUGUAUGUCAUGGAUUCUUUAGCUGAGAGUCCUGCAUUGCAGGGGGUGGACUAGAUGACCAUGGGGUCCCUUCCAGCUAUACAGUUCUAUGAUUCUGUGAGCUAAAUAUUUGGCUCCAUGGCUGCAGUAACCAAUCAAGGACACAAGGCAUAGCAGCAAAAUAUCUGUGACUGGAUUUCAUGCUGUUUUUAAAAUAAGUUUAAUAGCAACUGGGGGUGCUCCAUUUGGGACUGCAGCAGUUUGGAAGAUGCACUUUAACUCUUCCCUUGGGCUGGUUUGAGGAUUUAAAAAACCCCUCCCCCCACUACUAUUUGUCUUCUGGGAUGAAAUGUACAUUGAGUGAUGAAACCAAAUAAAGAAGUUCAAGUGACUUUUCUGAUUCUCUCCCUCUUGUUUUGCAGUACAAUUUUGGCAGGCAUCUACUAGAAUUACAAUUUAAUGAUUAGUCUUCAAUUGUCAUUAAUUGUGUACUACAGGCAAAAUGUGUGGGUGUGGGUAAAUUAAAACUCAAGCCAUAUUUGAUUCUACUGUGUUAAGAGGCUCCAGGUUUUUAGUCUUAUUUUAGAUUGUCUUUUCGUGUUGAAGCAUCACAUUAAGUAAAUGGCAAAUAUAAUGAGAGUAUUUUGUGUUUUCAUCAAGCUGAUUAUAUGAUUAUAUUAUAAUCAGCAGGAUGAAGCCACAACAUAUCCAUCCUACUAUGCUAUUAUUCCUACAACUUUUAAAAUUGUACCCACAGUGCAGAGCCCUUUGUAGACAUGGAGGUGCUGGGGUGUGUAUGUCCUUUGGCGCAGGCAUCCUUUUGCUCCUGUGGAGCCGCCCAUUAAUUGACGUGAAUAGGAAAACUCUUCUAAGUAGCAAACAUCUAUGUGCAAAUUAAUUUCUUCACCUGGAAGGAACCGCUGAACGAGGGCAUGUGGCCGUUAAGUCAUGGCCAAGGUGGGGUUUGUUUUUUCCCAGGAAGAGGGCAUCUUCCAUGGGGCUCAGGGCACGACAGAGGAAAAAGUGGGCAGACCAACUCUCACUUGUAGGCAACAACCCAGUCAGAGGUUUCUGUACAAAUGUGGGCACACACAUCAGUCACCCCCACCUUGAUGUAUGUGGACUGACACAUUCCUGCCAGGCAGAAGGCCCUGAGGAGCAUGUGAGGGUUAUGGCCUGGGGUGAGUUAGAAGGCUAGAGAAAGGCCUGGAGUCAGACUGCCCUUGGUCUGAGGUUCCCCACCCAUGGGCUGGACCAGCCUUUCUCCACCGUGGGUCCCCAGAUGUUGUUGGACUGCAUCUCUCUUAGGCAGCAGGGACAGUGGUCAGGGAUGAUGUGAACUGUAGCUCAAGAACACCUUGGGAACCUGGGGUUGAGAAAGGCUGGGUUAGACUGAAGUUGCUUAAUGACAAGAGAAAGAGAAUGGGGGACUGUUAAGCUAUCUGCUGUUUAUAACAGUAGUUACCAUAUUUGUGUUAACGGCAUUUUACGUUAUAAAAAGUUGAAAUCCAGAUGUAAUGUACUACAUUUUGUUGCCACUAUAAAAUAUAUACUGUACAUUAAAAUCAAUUGGAGAUGGACAGAGGCUAAUAUAGUCAAUUUAACAUUGGAUUAAUAUGUUUUAAAAUGUUAGUUCUUCAUGUUCUUGUGAUGAUUAAAACAGUUGUUUUCCUUAAAGUAUUUACAUAUGCUGAGUUCUCUAACCUAGGAAUCUCAGUGUUUUGUCAAAAGGAAUAAAAGAACUUCCAAAACGAGGGGCUUGGGUUUCAGUAAUUUCUACUGGGGGAUUAAGCCAGAAGACGCAAUAACAUCCAAAACAGAAGAAACAUUAUCAACUGCUAGAACAGUUUUUGAUGCCAAGGAAUGCACAAACAUGGGAGCAAACAUUAUACUAACACAUCCAAGACGUCACAAUAACUGAAGGAAAGGAACAAGGGUAGAUUACACCAAAUAAGAACAGCACAAGCUCACAGCAAAUAUUACUUGUGCCUUUCAAAAAAAUAUUGUGUAAUACUAAGUAUUUGCUUAUAGCAACUUCUGCCUUUUUCUCUUGCAGGCUUUUUAUUCUUCCCUAGUACUACCUGCUGUUUUAAAUAAGAGUUUAAAUUAUUGGUUUGAUUUUUAUCAUUCAUUGAUUUUUGUGCAUUAAACAUUUUGGUAAAGUAAAAUGUUCAAGUCCCCCAUCCAGUGUAAAAAAAGAAUUCUAACUAAAACUGAAUGAAGAUUCUGGAGUCAGUCAUCAAUUUGCCGACUUUCUCUUUGUGGUGGGUGAUUUCCCAGCAUCUUCAGGAAUAGCUUGAUCCUUUUAACUUUCUAAAGUAGGGGUAGCCAAGGGAUUGGAUGUGGAACCAGUUCUGACCCACAUGGUUACCAGAUAGAAUUUUCGUUAAGCUGAGAUAGGUUUGGCUUAAGUUUUACUCAUAGAGAGGAAAGAAACCCUGUGAAAUUCCGAGAGAUUUCUUCAAAAAUUUAUAUGCAGUGCCUCAGUCAUAUCAAUAUGCAUAUUUUCCAUGCCUGUUGUGGAGCAUUUAAAGGUAGUGACUUUAUUGUGCAGAUUACCCAGAAAAUAGCUUGGCUGUGGAGCAAAAUAUACUUCAACUAUGAAAACGCAUAGGUUGCCAACCCUGUACCACUGACAACCCAUCUUCUAGCUUGGAUGUGACCUUCUGUGCUUUAGCUUUGCUAAUUCCUCAUUAUGCUUCCUAAAAUUGAAACCAUUGAAAUCUGUAUGUCAUUUUUGUUAUGUCCAUCAGUAACAUCAUCUCCCUCUCUCUCUUGAGUUAAUUUUGGAUAACGUUGGAAGGAAAUGGCAGUAAUGAUCUUGCCCAUGAGAGUGUUGGUUAACCAGGCUGUAAUUUGAGGUUGUACAGGAUUUCUCCAUUCCAUUCUGUCCUUGUUUACCAUGUUUGAACCCAGAAGCUUUGCUGAGACUGCAUUGUGCAAAAAUAACUUAAAGUCUGAAUGAGUUGUUUACGACCUUUUUCUUGUGCUUAUAAAGAGACAUGGGGUCAGGGAGCAAAUUUGCUUGGAAUUCCCCAUAACAUCAACUAGGGUCUAUCAGAACAGGCAAACAAUGUUACAUGCACAUUCAUGCAAUUUCACCAGAUCUGUUGGGGUGUUGGCAAAUUUUGUUUUCCUCUCCAAUCUCCUUUUUUGAAAACAUACUGUGGAGAUCAAACUUUUACAGAUAGCAGCUAACUCAGCUGAGAUGUGGCUUACUUUGGUUUAGAGUUGCUUCUCUGGUAGAAUGAAAGUUGUGUAGCCUCCACUUGUUCUGGUUCUUUUUCUAACUUCCUUUGUUUCACAGAAACAGUGGACACUUCAAAAUUGCAAUUUUAUUAAUACAUAGCCCCUAACAGAGCUUUAGUCCAGUGCUUGCUGUCAUGAGUGUACACAGAGGUAAGUCAUACCUCCUCAGCAAUGACUAGAAGCCCAGGUCUCUGCUCGUUCACCAAUGCUCUCUCAGUUCUGUUUUUAAAAAACCACAUGCACACGCACAAACAAGCCAACAGUAAAUGAGUUGUGAAAAAACUAACAUUUUUAGGCACCACAAAAGGCUUUAGCCCUGUGCUUACUCUCAGGAACAAGCCUCACAGAAGACAAUGCUUACUUCUGAAUAAACUGAAUAGGAUUGUGUUAGUAAUACCAGUGCUAGGAAAGUUUAUCUUAAAAAGGAACAAAGCUCACCCAAAUGCACUUUUUUGUACUUAAUAAUAUUUGCCUGACACAUACCUCUUAAAGGCACAAGAGUGUUUCUCUCCCUAAUCCAAGCAAAGGACACCAAUUAAGAGUAAAAAGAAAAGAAAACACAUUUGGGCAACUUGAUAAUGUAUUUUUAAAUGUAAAAAUAUUUAAGAUGAGCAUCUAUAUUUGUAGAAAUGUAAUAAUUGGAGUGCUGGGAUAGGGCCUGGAAGACUAGAGUUCAAUUCCAUACCCACUUAAAUGAACACAGUAUGGCUUACUUCUCAGUAAAAGGAGUAAGAUUAUGUUAGUAACCACAGCUAAAUGAUGCCUACUCCUCAGUAUAGUUGACUAUUACAUGUGUGAAACUGUAUCACUCCUAUGGAGAAAACAGCACGUACUCGAUUCAGUAAUAUUCCUUUAUAUUUCAGCUACACCUGGCUUAUUCCCUGGUAUGCAAAAAGAACCUCCUUGAUUGGCAACCAUGGGUAAUAAUCAUUGGCUAAAGAUCUCCAGACUUUAUCACCCCCCCCCCACAAACUUUAAGCUCCUAUUGCUCAGAGAAAAAGAUACGGCUGGUGGGGAAAAACAGGAAGUCAGAAUCUAAUAAACCCAAACUUUUCACACCUUAUGAUCACUUCAAAAUACUUUGGAAGCAAGUUCCCCCAGUCCUCCACUGGGGCUAGCACCCAGACCGUCACACAAAGGGAAGGAUUCACCUAACAAAUCCCUUUGGAGGAAGUAAGGACUGCUGUGCGCACAAGGAGGCUUCUCCCCCCUGCACCCCUCCAGAUGAGCUAUGAAGGGGUCAUAGACACCCCCAAAGCACAGGAAAGGGGGGAUCAUUCUGUUUGCCAAGCUGAUUUGCUUUUGCAGACAGAACAGUGGUAAUAGUGUGAUGCUGAAUUCUUUAAGUUGUCUAAGUUUCUUGAAUUUAAUAAAAGAAGGUAUUUGCCUAACUCAGAAUUCCUUCACCUUUUGAUCAACUGCAUCUACCUACUCAAAGCUGCGUCUGGAAGUGUGCAACCACCCCACACAACCCCUGCUAUUCAGGUUACCAGUGCCAGGGUCCCUCUGUUAUCAACUACUCUCCUGCCCCCUUAUGAAAUACACAGUCCUGGACUCAGAAGGAAAAUUAACUUAUGGUCCUCUUCAAACUACUGCUAAGUUUUUUGUUUCCUUAAAAAUAGUGAAUAUUCCUAAUGGCAGUUAAUUAAUUUGCAGAAGCCCAUAUGAAAAUUUAAUAUACGUU